This 253-nucleotide ribosomal RNA is filed under the name uncultured bacterium. RNAcentral's name for it is "partial 16S ribosomal RNA". It matches the Rfam family "Bacterial small subunit ribosomal RNA", at positions 524 to 776 of the family's 1533-position model. The record is from RNAcentral.
UACAGAGGUCCCGAGCGUUGUUCGGAUUCACUGGGCGUAAAGGGUGCGCAGGUGGGUUGGCAAGUUCGAUGUGAAAGCCCCGGGCUUAACCCGGGAAUGGCAUUGGAAACUGCUGAUCUGGAGGAUCGGAGGGGGGACUGGAAUUCUUGGUGUAGCAGUGAAAUGCGUAGAUAUCAAGAGGAACACCGGUGGCGAAGGCGGCGAGCUGGUCCAUUACUGACGCUGAGGCGCGACAGCGUGGGGAGCAAACAGG